AAUCUCUGUUGAUCUCUAUGACAUACUUUUGGAUUUUGAUUUUGAUGGAUUUAGGACAUGUUGAUGUCUAUUUUGAAUGAUGUGUUAAAUGACUUUUGCGUAAUGUUGAAUACCUUUGCUAUUAAUGAUAUUAUUAUUAUUAUUAUUAUUAUGAGCCAAUCAAUGUACCAAAUGUACCAGGUUAUUGGAAUGUGAUCAGUGACCAAAUUUGGUUACUGAAUUGUUUAUCAAGUAUUGUAACG
Molecule: long non-coding RNA, 242 nt
Filed under: Phoenix dactylifera (date palm)
Lineage: Eukaryota; Viridiplantae; Streptophyta; Magnoliopsida; Arecales; Arecaceae
Description: long non-coding RNA (PDAC_LNC017127)
Source: RNAcentral